UUGACCUCGGAUCAGGUAGGGAUACCCGCUGAACUUAAGCAUAUCAAUAAGCGGAGGAAAAGAAACCAACAGGGAUUACCUCAGUAACGGCGAGUGAAGCGGUAAGAGCUCAAAUUUGAAAGCUGGCUCCUUCGGGGUCCGCAUUGUAAUUUGCAGAGG
RNAcentral lists this ribosomal RNA (159 nucleotides) under Penicillium glabrum. Its description in RNAcentral is "partial 28S ribosomal RNA". It matches the Rfam family "Eukaryotic large subunit ribosomal RNA", at positions 1 to 158 of the family's 3401-position model. Lineage: Eukaryota; Fungi; Ascomycota; Eurotiomycetes; Eurotiales; Aspergillaceae. The record is from RNAcentral.